UUAUAUCAUGUGCAGCCAAACCAACACAAAAGCAAAAGCACAUAGCAUUACAUUGCAAAAAUGGUUAACGGUUGAACUGAGAACAUGGUCCACAGUAAAAUGUUUCGUGUUUUGCAGUGUCUGGUGCUUGUUGUGUGCCAAUACUUUUUUCUUAGUGCAUUCCAUUGAAGAUCAGAAAGAACUAGAGUGAAACGUAGUUGAUUCAUUUGUGUUGAGUAUGAAUGGCAGAAGCUUGUUCCUCCUAGAGGCCUAAACCAAAACCCCUCUUGUGUCUUUGUUCAUCCAAGUGAUCUCUCUCUGUUUGUUGAAAGGAGAGAUGGCACAAAAACCAGUUUUCCUUUCUCUUUUACCCCUUUUAGUCUUCUUUCUUGCCACCAUCCAACUUUCAGAACAGUUAGAGUUUUCUCAGUCUCAGACACUUCUCAAGGUUCAGCAACUUCUUGGUUAUCCAUCAGCAUUAAGUGCUCUCAGCAGCACCUCAGACUUUUGCAAUAUUGAGCCUACCACAUAUUUGACACUAGUCUGCUAUGAAGAUAGCUUGACACAGCUUCAUGUUGUUGGCAACAAUGAUUAUGCUUCACUGCCUCCAAACUUCUCCUCUGAUACUCUUUUUACUACAAUAGGAACUCUCUCAAGCUUGAAAGUCCUCUCUCUUGUUUCUCUUGGACUCUGGGGCCCUUGCCUGAAAGCAUUGCACAACUGUCUUCAUUGGAAAUACUUAACAUUAGCUCAAACUACUUCAAUGGAGCCAUUCCAUCUCAGCUUUCACAACUCAGGAACCUGCAGUCAGUGGUGCUUGAUGAUAACAACAUCAAUGGUGAAAUUCCUAACUGGGUAGGCUCACUUCAAGGUUUGGCUGUGCUUAGUAUGAAGAAAAACUGGCUUAGUGGGAGCCUUCCAACUUCACUGGAUGCUCUUCAGACCUUGAGGGUGUUAGAUCUGUCAAAUAAUCAGUUAUCUGGGGAAGUUCCUCAUCUUAAGAAUUUGGCAAACCUUCAAGUUCUUAACUUGGAAAACAACACAUUUGGACCUCAUUUUCCUUCACUCCCCACCAAGUUAGUUUCUCUUGUGCUAAGAAAUAACAGCUUCAGGCUGAGUGUCCCCUCUGGUUUAAAUUCUUUCUAUCUGCUCCAAAGGCUAGACCUUUCUUUGAAUGGCUUUGUGGGGCCAUUUCCACCAUCAUUAUUGUCACUGCCAUCCAUAAAUUACCUUGAUAUUUCCUCAAAUAAAUUCACUGGAAUGCUUUUCAGUAACAUGUCAUGCAAUGAUGAUCUCCGCUUUGUAAAUUUGUCUUCAAAUCUUCUGAAAGGGGAAGUUCCCUCUUGUUUGGAACCAAAGACCAGGGUUGUUCUGUAUGAUGGAAACUGCUUAUCAAAUAAGAACCAAGAUCAGCACCCUUUACAUUUCUGCAGCAAUGAGGCUUUGGCAGUGAAAAUCAUACCCCCUCAACCAAAGCACAAGAGAACAACUGGUAAAGCAGUUCUUGUAUCAAGUAUGGGAGGUGUUGUAGGUGUAGUGUUGAUUCUAGGAGUGGUUAUCUUGGUUGUUAGCCGAGUUCACAAGAAACAGGUAGUGAAAAUACCUUCAAAGUCCCCUUUGGAAAAUGUCACUACCCAGUUACAUAAUGAAGAAGAAGUGAAAACUACUACAAGGUCCAUAAUGGAGCAUAUCAUCAAAAGGGUUCCUGACAAACGUGCUGUGGAAACACUCACAAGAUCCAUAAAGGAGCAUGUAAUGAGCCGAGUUAAAAAUAAGCGUGUUGUUAGGGCAUCGACAAGGUCCAUAAUAGAACAUGUAUCAUCAGUUAACACAGCAAAACUACUCACAGACGCAAGGUAUAUAUCAGAAACAAUGAAGAUGGGAGCCAGCCUUCCUCCUUAUAGGACCUUUGCUUUGGAUGAACUUAAGGAAGCUACAAAUAAUUUUGAUUCAUCAUGUUUCAUAAGUGAAGGCCAACAUGGUCAGAUUUAUAAAGGGGUUCUCUCUGAUGGGAUGCACAUUUCUAUUAGAGGUUUGAAAAUGAGGAAGAGACAUAGCCCUCAAACUUACAUGCACCAUGUUGAGAUGAUUUCAAAACUAAGGCAUUCACACUUGGUUAGUGCUCUUGGGCAUGCUUUUGAGUGCAACCAGGAUGAUUCAUGUGUGAACAGUGUAUUUCUCAUAUUUGAGUUUGUUCCAAACAGAAGUUUACGAAGCUGCGUUUCUGGAUCUUCUGGGGAAAAGAUUUCUUGGACUCAGAGAAUAGCAGCUACAAUUGGAGUGGUGAAAGGCAUUCAAUUUUUGCACACAGGGAUAGUGCCUGGACUAUAUUCAAAUAAUCUCAAGAUUACAGAUAUUCUUUUGGAUAACAAUCACAAUGUUAAAAUAAGCAGCUACAAUCUGCCACUCUCUUCUGAAAAUAAAAGAAUGAUCAGCAAUGGAACUUCCCCUGGACUCAAAGGAAAUGUCCAAACAAGGAUAAAGGGUGAAGACAAGAAUGAUGUCUAUGAUAUUGGGGUAAUCUUGCUAGAAAUCAUUCUGGGCCGACCAAUAAUAUUCCACAAUGAAGUUGGAACACUAAAAGAUCUGUUACAUGUAAGCAUAAAAACUGAUGACAUAGCUAGAAGAAGUAUUGUUGACCCAGCAGUUCACAAGGAAUGCUCAGAUGAAUCAUUAAUGACAAUGAUGGAGAUAUGUGUAAGGUGUCUCUCUGAUGACCUAACUGAAAGGCCUUCUGUGGAAGAUAUUCUCUGGAACUUGCAGUUUGCAGCACAAGUUCAGAAUUCAUGGAAAAGAGACUCAAGUGAUCACAGUUACUCUCCUACACCAUCCUCCAGGGACACAUAGUUAAUAUCUGUAUGAUAUUUUCAGCUAGCAAGGGUUUGUGUUACCAUGUACAAAAGUUUUAUUUUAUAUCAUGAUUCUCACAAUUUUCAUUAUCAGAAUUCAAUAAUUAUGUGUGCCUAAAUUUUUGCCUUUCAUUGGUUUUUUUUAUCAUUCUAUUCUCUGAAUGCACAAAAUCUUAGAUUUCA
Vigna unguiculata (cowpea) is the source of this 3011-nucleotide non-coding RNA. The record is from RefSeq and is a predicted model, not a curated record. NCBI's taxonomy places the organism in Eukaryota, Viridiplantae, Streptophyta, Magnoliopsida, Fabales, Fabaceae.